GGCUCGGUGGCAGAGUGGUAAUGUGUCCGCUUAUAAUCGAGUGCGGUUAUCUUUAUUGCGGAGGUCGCCUGUUCGAAUCAGGCUCGAGCCA
Non-coding RNA from Mycena leptocephala, 91 nucleotides. The record is from the annotation of a GenBank genome assembly. Lineage: Eukaryota; Fungi; Basidiomycota; Agaricomycetes; Agaricales; Mycenaceae.